GUUAAUCUCGCGAUGGUUCAAAAACGAUUCAAAUUCAAAUUUAAAAUAAAGACAAACAACAAAAGUUUUCAAACUUUAAAACUAAAAUGUUCGAGUCGUGCUAAAUAAUGCAAAGGUGAUUGUGGUGAAGAAACCCCACUUUUAUAAAAUGUUUAAAUACUAUCAGAUGAAUAAAACAGCAGCAUAAAUAGUUAUUUAAAUACCUUUUGUAAUUAAUAAAAUGUCAAACUAAAUUAUUUGAGGACUUGACUUUUUGUGACAAUGGCCUAAAUUGAAUUACUAAAAUAGAUGCCAAGUAUAUAUAUUUUACAAAAAAAUAAAACAAUAGGAAACAAAGACAAAACAGAAAACAAAACUAACAAAAAGAAAAGAACCCCCCGGGGCUCCGGCCCAGCAGGCCAUCAACCCCACUGGGCCAACCCACCAGUCCCAGCUGGCCACCCCACUUAACCCCCUCGGUCCACUAACCGAAACCCUAACCCCCACUGCUCCCCCGAUCCCCCCACUCGGACCCACUCCUUCCCCCUCGUCCCACUCCUCCCUCUCGCCCUUCCCCGAUCUAGAUCGGGGCAACCCCCCGAUCCCAUCGCCCCAUCGCCGCCUCGGUGUCGCCGUCACCUCCCUCGCGGAGUCGGCCCCCUCCUGUCGCCCCACCGGCGCCCCGCCGGCCGUCCACGACCACGCUGACGCGGACCCCGCCCGGAGCUACCUCGCCCCCGCCGCACGAGGACCGCGCCGCCGAAGCCGCUCACCGUCUUCCCCGAAUAGCCGUCGCCUCGUCGUCCACGCCGGUCUGCCUCCCCCUACGCACGUCGUCGCCGUUGUCCUCCCCAAGCACCACUGCCACGUCCCUACUCCUCGCAGUGAGCCCUGACUCCCCUCUUCCCCCUCGCGCCCGUGCUCAUGCUCACGCACCUGUGCGCGCGCACCCGCAGCCGCCGCGCUCACUGCCCCGCGCACCCUGGCACGUGCCCCGGCGCGUGAGCCCGCGCCCCUGGAUCCUCGAGUGUCGCUGCCCCCUGUACCCUCGCGUCCCGCCCCGCCAGCCCUGCCCGUCGCCGGUCACAGCGGCCACCGCCCGGGCGCCUCGCCCACAUCUCGCGCCGCUCUCGGGGCCACCUCUCCGUGCGUCGCUCUGGCCAUCCCCGCCUCCUCUGCACCCCGCCCGCAGCCACCACCAUGGCUGCCCUGGCCACUGACCUUGCCGGCCUACAUCGCCCGCUCGGGCGGUGCCGCCCGCCCCUGCGCCCGUUAGCCCGCCCGCUAAGGUCCCAGGGCCAAUGACAAACGGGGCCCACCAGCCCCAGAACGUUUUAUAAAAAAGGAAUUAAUUAAAAUAAUAUAAUUAAUUAAUUAAGAUAAUUAUUUAACUUAAUUAAUCAUGUUAGUUAGUCCAAUUAAGCCUAAUUAAUUAACCUAAUCACUUUGAUUAAGUUCACUAAUCCCGUUUAGUUAACUGUGUCAAUGAUAGACGGGACCCACACGUCAGUUUGACCCAGUCAACGCCUUGUUGACUCCUGACGUCAUGCUGAUGUCAGCGUGCACUAUUCUGGAUAAUGUUGAAUUUAAAUACUUAAAUAAAUCCUAAAAUGAAUUAAUUCUUUUAAAAUUGAUAUAAAAUAAACCAUAGCUCGGAUGAAAAAUACUUUGUACAUGAAAGUUUCUCAGAACGACGAGACGAAUCCGGAUACGUAGCCCGUUCGUCCGCCACACACCCCUAGCAUACCGAACACGCAACUUUCCCCCUUCGGUUCCUUUGUCCGAAAACGCGAAACACCAGGAAUACUUUCCCGGAUGUUCCCCCCUUCACUAGUAUUACCUCAUACCGCGUUAGGGCACGCCUAGCAUCACGCAUUGCUUUGUCAUGCAUCGUUAUGCAUAUGUUUGCAUUGUAUUCAUUGUUUCUUCCCACUCUUCUCUCCGAUAGACUACGAGAUCGACGCUCCUGCCGCCCCGUUCGACUACGGAGUUGACGACCCCUCCUUCUUGCCAGAGCAACCAGGCAAGCCCCCCCCUUGAUCACCAGAUAUCGCCUAUUCUUCUCUAUACUGCUUGCAUUAGAGUAGUGUAGCAUGUUACUGUUCGGUUACUCCUAUUCUGUUGCAUAGCCUGUCCUUGUUGCUACAGUCAUUGAUACCCUACCUGCAAUCAUAAAUGCUUAGUAUAGGAUGCUAGUUUAUCAUCAUUGGCCCUACAUUCUUGUCAGUCUGCCUUGAUAUACUAUUGGGCCGUGAUCACUCAGGAGGUGAUCACGGGUAUAUACUAUACAUACAUACAUAUUAUACAGAUGGUGACUAAAGUCGGGUCAGCUUGUUGAGUACCUGCAAGUGAUCCCGAUGUGGGGGCUGAAAGGACAGGUGGCUCCAUCCCGGUAGAGGUGGGCCUGGGUUCCUGACGGCCCCCGACUGUUACUUUGUGGCGGAGCGACAGGGCAGGUUGAGACCACCUAGGAGACAGGUGGGCCUGGCCCUGGUCGGCGUUCGCGGUUGCUUCAUAAUAACACGCUUAACGAGAUCUUGGUAUUUGAUCCGAGUCUGGCUACUGGCCUAUACGCACUAACCAACUACGCGAGAACAGUUAUGGGCACUCGACGUAGUGGUAUCAGCCGAAGCCUUCGUCACGUCAGUGACUGAGCGGCGCGCGCCGGGUUGGACUGCGUUAACGCAACUUCCUUUGUAAUGGAGGCUGCUAGGUCUGCUCACCGGCCGCGUACGCAACGUGCAUGUGUGCAAUGGGCGAUGGGCCCAGCCCCCUGCGUGCAUAGGAUUUAGACCGGCGUGCUGACCUCUCUGUUGUGCCUAGGUGGGGCUGCGACGUGUUGAUCUUCCGAGGCCGGGCAUGACCCAGGAAAGUGUGUCCAGCCAAAUGGGAUCGAGCGUGUUGGGUUAUGUGGUGCACCCCUGCAGGGAAGUUAAUCUAUUCGAAUAGCCGUGAUCUUCGGUAACAGGACGACUUGGAGUUGUACCUUGACCUUAUGACAACUAGAACCGGAAACUUAAUAAAACACACCCUUCCAAGUGCCAGAUACAACCCGGUGAUCGCUCUCUAACAGGGAGACGAGGAGAGGAUCGCCGGGUAGGAUUAUGCUAUGCGUUGCUACCUGGAGGACUUCACUCUACUCUCUUCUACAUGCUGCAAGACGGAGGCUGCCAGAAGCGUAGUCUUCGAUAGGACUAGCUAUCUCCCUCUUAUUCUGGCAUUCUGCAGUUCAGUCCACUGAUAUUGCCUCCUUACACAUAUACCCAUGCAUAAGUAGUGUAGCUCCUUGCUUGCGAGUACUUUGGAUGAGUACUCACGGUUGCUUUGCUCCCUCUUUUCCCCCGUUUUCCUCUUCUUCUCGGAUGCUGCAACCAUACUUUGGAGCCCAGGAGCCAGACGCCACCGUCGACGACGACUACUAUGCUGGAGGUGCCUACUACUACGUGCAGCCUGCUGACGACGACCAGGAGUAGUUUAGGAGGAUCCCAGGCAGGAGGCCUGCGCCUCUUUGGAUCUGUAUCCCAGUUUGUGCUAGCCUUCUUAAGGCAAACUUGUUUAACUUAUGUCUGUACUCAGAUAUUGUUGCUUCCGCUGACUCGUCUAUGAUCGAGCACUUGUAUUCGAGCCCUCGAGGCCCCUGGCUUGUAUUAUGAUGCUUGUAUGACGUAUUUAUGUUUUAGAGUUGUGUUGUGAUAUCUUCCCGUGAGUCCCUGAUCUUGAUCGUACACGUUUGCGUGCAUGAUUAGUGUACAAUUGAAUCGAGGGCGUCACAAUUUGGUAUCAGAGCCAACUGCCUGUAAGAACCCCCCUUCCCAACUCGUUGGCCGAAGUCGAGUCUAGACAUUGCAAAAACUUUUACUAACAUGGAUGUCUGUCUUACCGGCACACGUCGCCAUUGGGUGGUAGUAGGAUCUUUUAUUCCUCGUCUAUACUCUGGGAUUCUGAUCUCUCUUCUAUUUGGGUUAAAUGAUUUUCUAAAAUCUAACUUUAGGUUCUCGAAAACGCUUUCUCCCGGAGAGCCCCUUCAGUCCAGAUGAUCGUCGACUGCACAUGAAGAUUUCAAAGUUACUUUCUGAUACCCUUUCGAGACUGCCCAUUGCUUUUGCAAUUCACUACCACCAAAAUAUCCCUAUGAAUAAAUUCAUACACCGUUCUUACUUAGUCCCCAGUUGCUCAUUUUAUUACAAGAUGCCCUGAAAUACUCAUUGUUGUUCUUAGUAUACUUAUGCCUACUGCCUUGCAGUUCCUUACCACCUGAAUACCCCUACGGAUAAUUUCUCGCCCUUAUCGAGUAUCCACUCAUCCCCGGUUGUUCAUGUGUUUCACAAAAGUCUUCGAAAUACCAUUCGAUCUUCCGAAAAUCCUCAGCAACCUAUUGCUCUGGAAUUUCUUGUUUGCUUCCAUUAUGAUUAAUCCCAUAGGUCUGGUAAUCUUAUUUGCAUCCUUUGUCAUUAUCAUUUGAGUCCGUUGAUUCAAUAUGUUGCGAAUGCUUGCAAUCCUCAACCAGAUCCUAGAAUUCAUCCUUCCGGCUCAGACACCAUUUUUAAACAUGAGCUGGGUCUCGACGAAUCAAGUUAUCGUCGAUUGUAACCCCCUAUGUCUAUUUUGGGCUAUCCAUCUUUGAUCAGAGCGUCUGCUUCUGAUCCUUUGUUUUGGAAAUCAUAAUUCCUUUGUUAUCUAAGCAUCAAAUUAUUCCGAUGUUCUAUAAUCUAAUGCAUUUGCAUUCUUUCUUCCUCUAAUUGAGUACCGAUACUCACAUCAGCCUCGUUGUGGACCUCCAUACCCAUUGCGGGGUUAUUAUCCGACAGUGCCCUUCACAACCAAAAUUCUUAUGAGUUCUUUACCCGAUACAUAAUGCCUUUGGUAAAUUAUAUCCUCUACUUUUUUCAAACAUGCUCUACUUUGAGCUUGUGUUAUUUACUCCUGAAGUUCAUGGCAUAUGUUCUAAGAAGCCCCAAUGGGUUGAACCUAUGCCUUCCUUAAUCUGCAUGAACUCGAAAGUUUUCACGGGUCAUACUCCUCUGGUAAUUCACCAGGUAGGUUUUUGACACUGAAAUCAUUUUUUUAAUAAGAGCAGUGAAUGAAUGGUCAUGCAUUGGAGAAGUGGGAGUCGACCUUGAACUUUGUGUUCAUGCCCAUGGACACGAUGUAGAUCUUAUCAUGGAAGCUUCUCUUAAAGUAAUUAUUCCCUUGGUAUAGGUUCAUCUUAUAUCUUGGAUCUGGUCUUUUGCAAUCAUGGUUCUGGCAAUAUUAUUAUUCAUUAAUUCCUUUUCUCGGACAAGUUAAAUUACUUGUCUUUUGUAGAUUAAUACACCUGUGCAACCUCUAUUCUGCUCAACCUUUGAGUAAUACCCUCUGGUAUCUCGAGAAUAUUACGAAACUACAUAACUUCUUAUGAGUUCUUCGUCAACUAUUAUUCUCGCCGAUUCUAAUUUCCCUCGGGUCUGAGUUAUUAGUCACUCAAGAACACUGAUAAGUGAGUCGAAUCGGCACUCCGAUUCAGUAACUCAAGUAAUUUUCGUUACUUAUGAUUUAAUAAUCCUUCAAGUCAUUCCUAGCCUAAUUGCUAUAUCAUUAUCGUGCUGAAUUUAACUGUGUGCUACCGUGCUACCUGGUCCUUAUUCCCGGAGCAUAACUUUCGGCGAUGAGCUAAGCUUACGUCGAUCUUCCUCGUCUUAUCGUAUCACCUCGAACAGCAAGCUUGGUUUCGAGUCUGUGUCGUAACCGUGAUUCCAAUAACCCUUCGCUUCACCAUUGCUUUGAUAGAUGUCGUCGCUGUUCGAUUUCUUCUUCGUGAAGCCUCUCGACAAAAUUUGUCAUGAUGAUCAUAAUCAACAUUUUGACUCCUUCCAUGAUAUCAACCAAAUUCAUGAUGGUAAGUACCAUCCUCGUCCCUUGGUAAUUUGAGUUACCACCGACAACAUCCUUAUCUCUCUUUCAUCAUAAACUUGUUCAUGUUGUGGAUGCAACUUGCUAUCGAGCUUGUAUUACGUUCUACCUUGAAGUAUUACCCCCUUGUAUGUCAAGGAUGUUGUGAUAAUUGCUCCACCUCUUGAGAAUUCUUGAUAUAUUAUUACUUCUCGCCAUCUCCGUUCAUUCCUUGGUCCCUCCCUAUUGUUUCUAACCGGAAUACCGACAACUGGACUAUGACGUGUGAAUUCAAAACUUCUAGCAACCCUAUUGCUUUGAAGUUAAUGGUCGAUAGUUCAUUCUUAGACUAUUGGUUAUGGAAUCACCAUUUUAUCAUUGAUCAUGCUACCUAACCCCAUAUUUCGGGUGCACCUUUCAACCAUUGUUUAAUUGUGUAUGUUUUCCUCGAGCAUACCUCAUUAUGUCAUCUGAUCUGACAAAUGUUAUCUCCUUAUUCACAUAGUUGUGGAAAUCCAUCCUUUUGGAAAUCUUGAGGACUUGUCGGUGAGUCCAUCAGCCACCUCCUCGUCCUCUCCUUGGUUAAAUGAUGAACUCUUGUUUUGGUACUCGCUUCCAUAGUUCAUUUCCCGAGAAUCUUACAAUGACAUCUCGUCAAUUUGUGUUGCACCUUUUCUUCUCAGGCAUCCUGAGUCUGAGGCAUCCUGACACCAAUCAGAUCUGAAUCUCGGUCAGAUAUGAUGAUUGGGACAUAUUUCCAAGAGUAAUAACAUUGGUCUUUACAUAACAUGGUAAGAUGAUGUCAUGCCUAGCACACCCGGCCGGAGGCCCUAAUGUUAUAGUUCCCUUUAGCAAUGUUAUCCAUUCUUCCAUGAGGAAACUAUACGACUUAUUCUACAAGUUGUUCUUGAUGAAUCCUUCAUGUAUCCAAAGUACGACCUUUGCUUGAAGACCAUGUGAAUGCUAUCUCAAAGCAUGUCUAUGGUACUCCGUUUUAAAACAAGAACAUUUGAAGCCCAAUGCUAAAUGUUUCUUGCUCAAUUAUCCAAACACCAUUGUAUGGGUAAUGUGAUAAAAAUUCUCUCCCCUACCUAAAGAGUUUACUACAUUAUAUCCUGUCAUGGAUAUCAUGCUCUGAUCGUCCUUUCGAAGGAUAUACAUUUGAAAUAUGUGUUUAAACACAUUUUUCUUUCCAUUGUUCUGUUUAAUUUGAUAAUCAUAUUUUUCUUUCCAUUUGUUGGGCUAACGUUUCUUGUGAUCUAUAUGAUCUAAGCAGUAAUAUUCUCCUGCUUAGAAAAACACCUCGGUUUACAACUCUGUCAGUGUGACCCUGUUACUAUUGCUGACGACAUCCUGGUAACCCUCGAUGGAUGAGAACUUUGCCUAUUGGUCCGCCUCGUUCAACGAGCAGGAAAAUGGUUCUCUUCGUCCCUCGCCCUUGGUACCAACAUUGUUGCCAACAUAACUGACAGACUAUCCUCUGCCAUGCCUUGCUACCAUGACCGUGCAAUAUGUCGGCGUCCUUCCUACUUUUGAACCACAUGGUGGGCCCAUAACCCACAGUUCCACAGGAUCGAAACCUGACUCUCCUGCACCCCCCUGUUCCCAAGGUUGCUCCUCGCGUGUGGCCUCGUAUGUAAUUCAUGAGCCAUCUUCCGAGGGAUCAUCAAAUCUGAUGCCGGACGCAAUACUUAUUCUUGAUUGCUUUGAGCCCUUUCACGCCCUGUUUCAGGCAUCGAAUGGUUGCCUGCUCGUUUGAAACUUCCCAUGAAACCUCAUUACUUUGCUCUCGAUAUUUUCUUAAGUUUCAAUUCGAGAGUUACUUUCUGCCACCUUCCCCGAUGAUAUCGACCAGAUAGUCAACCUUGUAGAGGUUCGUUCUCCCAGAAUACCCCUUAUUCUUUCGUAAGUACGAUGGAACCCCCGAAGAAAGGGCAACAACUUCAUCAUGAUGCAUUGAUGCAUAGGAAUGGAAACAUCAACGGUAUGGAUCAACCUCUUCGAGAAGAGCAACCAAGACCGAGAAGAUUCAUUAUAAUUUCGUAAUUAGAACUUUCCCCCUUACUCCCCUCUUAAAAUCUCGGGACGAGAUUUCUUGUAGUGGAGGAGAAUUGUGACGCCCGGAUAAUUAAGCUACAGUAACCCUCUCCUAAUGAUGCCAUGUCACCGCUGUCACUUUAGUUAAUCUCGCGAUGGUUCAAAAACAAUUCAAAUUCAAAUUUAAAAUAAAGACAAACAACAAAAGUUUUCAAACUUUAAAACUAAAAUGUUCGAGUCGUGCUAAAUAAUGCAAAGGUGAUUGUGGUGAAGAAACCCCACUUUUAUAAAAUGUUUAAAUACUAUUAGAUGAAUAAAACAGUAGCAUAAAUAGUUAUUUAAAUACCUUUUGUAAUUAAUAAAAUGUCAAACUAAAUUAUUUGAGGACUUGACUUUUUGUGACAAUGGCCUAAAUUGAAUUACUAAAUUAGAUGCCAAGUAUAUAUAUUUUACAAAAAAAUAAAACAAUAGGAAACAAAGACAAAACAGAAAAGAAAACUAACAAAAAGAAAA
This 8397-nucleotide long non-coding RNA is filed under the name Triticum aestivum (bread wheat). RNAcentral's name for it is "long non-coding RNA (TAES_LNC012455)". Lineage: Eukaryota; Viridiplantae; Streptophyta; Magnoliopsida; Poales; Poaceae. The record is from RNAcentral.